AGAGGGCUAAAUUAUUUCUUUUUUUGUGCUGCAUUCUUAUAGCUCGCUUGAAACAAGCUUCAAAAAAGUUUGGAGGGGAUGAGAAGCAGCGAAAGAUUCGUUUGAUUGUUGAUGAGAACAGUGGGGGUUUUCCAAAUGCAAAGAAUAAUGGAAUGACCAAUACAUGUUGUGAAAGCAAGCGCGAAAUGAAAGCUCCAAGUUUGGUUGCUAGGCUCAUGGGCUUGGAAUCGAUGCCAGCAGGAUCAGGCUUUCUGAAACUUGGAGCAAUGUGGCAGACAAACUUGGUGCUCGACCUGGCAGAUCUGAUAAAGAAGAUAUGGAUUUUGAGAUGGCCUAAAUAAAGAGUUUAGAACCGGGUUUGCAAAGGUUUAGAGCUAAAUGUGCUCUCACUUAUCCUACUAGAUAUUUUUCUCCUUUGGAAGAUGAAACAGAUUUAGCACCUUAUCAUUUGGAAAGCCCUAAUCCAUGUGUGGAUUCAAAGAUUUUGAAAGGAACAUCUGUGCCUUCAUGUAAAAAUUGUGGUUAUUUUCUUCAUAGUAAGAACGGUACACCAAAUGUGGAAGAAUACUCAUCGUCUGUCUCGUCACCUGUCUCUAGUGACUUUGGACCUCCUUGUGAAGGUCCAGGAAGAAAUAUGCCAAGGUUGCCCAUUUUCAGCAGUAGGGAUCAACUAGAGAGAGUUUCUGAGGGUUCGUCCUCAGACGCCACUGCUGAAAUUGAUGAUGUAUCAUACUGUGCAAAACCCAUAUUAGGUGAAAGAUCUACUAGCAGAACUCGAAUGGAGAUACAUGGCACCCGCCAAGGGAACGAUGUGAAGAAUGAUGCAUCAUCUGUCACUCAUGUGGUUAAUCAGAAGCAAAAUCAAACAGCUCAGAAUAGAGAGAGGGAUCUUAUGAAGUCUAAGCAAAGUAGUUUGUAGAGCAACAUAGUUUUAGCAGCUGCAGAAUCUAUGAAUAAUACCCAAAAUUUUGUUGCACAGAAUAAAAGGCCUAGAAGGAAAGAAGAUUUGUGUGAUGAUGGUGAUGUAUCUUCUAGAAAUAUUUGCAUGAAUUUCCAGCCAUACCAGAUUCAGCAGCAACAGAUUUAGUUGGGAAUUCACUUGAUCACCAUAGUUCAGGAUGUGUUCUUGAAGCUGCCUUUUCAACUGAUAGCUACCUCUCCAGCAGUCCUAAUAGUAGCUCAAAAGACAAAGUUCUUGCUGAAUCAAUGGACUCUAUUGAUGAUAAACGACUCUUUCCAGAACCUGAUAGAGAUAUUUCGGAUUGUGAGACCUCAUUAUCCACCAGGAGGAGUUGCA
Capsicum annuum is the source of this 1297-nucleotide long non-coding RNA. RefSeq lists it as uncharacterized. The transcript is spliced from 4 exons. The record is from RefSeq and is a predicted model, not a curated record. Lineage: Eukaryota; Viridiplantae; Streptophyta; Magnoliopsida; Solanales; Solanaceae.